This 253-nucleotide ribosomal RNA is filed under the name uncultured bacterium. Its description in RNAcentral is "partial 16S ribosomal RNA". It matches the Rfam family "Bacterial small subunit ribosomal RNA", at positions 524 to 776 of the family's 1533-position model. The record is from RNAcentral.
UACGUAGGGUGCAAGCGUUGUCCGGAAUUAUUGGGCGUAAAGAGCUCGUAGGCGGUCCGUCACGUCGGCUGUGAAAACCCGGGGCUCAACUCCGGGCCUGCAGUCGAUACGGGCGGACUAGAGUACUGCAGGGGAGACUGGAAUUCCCGGUGUAGCGGUGAAAUGCGUAGAGAUCGGGAGGAACACCAGAGGCGACAGCGGCGACCUGGACAGGUACUGACACUCAACUACGAAAGCGUGGGGAGCAAACAGG